Non-coding RNA from Chloroflexi bacterium RBG_13_60_13, 117 nucleotides. NCBI's taxonomy places the organism in Bacteria, Bacillati, Chloroflexota. The record is from Rfam.
UCUGGUGGUCUGAGCGAGGUGGAACCACCCGUUCCCAUCCCGAACACGGAAGUGAAACGCUUCAGCGCAGACGAUACUGAGGGGUCACCCCCUUGGGAAAAUAUGUCACUGCCAGGG